GACGAACGCUGGCGGCGUGCUUAACACAUGCAAGUCGAACGGAAGGGCCCUGCUUUUGUGGGGUGCUCGAGUGGCGAACGGGUGAGUAACACGUGAGUAACCUGCCCUUGACUUUAGGAUAACUUCAGGAAACUGGGGCUAAUACCGGAUAGGAGCUCCUGCUGCAUGGUGGGGGUUGGAAAGUUUCGGCGGUUGGGGAUGGACUCGCGGCUUAUCAGCUUGUUGGUGGGGUAGUGGCUUACCAAGGCUUUGACGGGUAGCCGGCCUGAGAGGGUGACCGGCCACAUUGGGACUGAGAUACGGCCCAGACUCCUACGGGAGGCAGCAGUGGGGAAUAUUGCACAAUGGGCGGAAGCCUGAUGCAGCAACGCCGCGUGCGGGAUGACGGCCUUCGGGUUGUAAACCGCUUUCGCCUGUGACGAAGCGUGAGUGACGGUAAUGGGUGAAGAAGCACCGGCUAACUACGUG
This 468-nucleotide ribosomal RNA is filed under the name uncultured bacterium. Its description in RNAcentral is "partial 16S ribosomal RNA". It matches the Rfam family "Bacterial small subunit ribosomal RNA", at positions 28 to 507 of the family's 1533-position model. The record is from RNAcentral.